UAGAAAAAGAAUUGCUGCAUGGUUGCUG
RNAcentral lists this non-coding RNA (28 nucleotides) under Rattus norvegicus (Norway rat). The record is from RNAcentral. Lineage: Eukaryota; Metazoa; Chordata; Mammalia; Rodentia; Muridae.